GCCUGGGUGGCUCAGUCGGUUAAGCGUCUGACUUUGGCUCAGGUCACGAUCUCACGGUUCGUGAGUUCGAGCCCCACGUCGGGCU
Molecule: transfer RNA, 85 nt
Filed under: Felis catus (domestic cat)
Lineage: Eukaryota; Metazoa; Chordata; Mammalia; Carnivora; Felidae
Also listed under: 1 other name
Rfam family: tRNA
About the family: Transfer RNA (tRNA) molecules are approximately 80 nucleotides in length. Their secondary structure includes four short double-helical elements and three loops (D, anti-codon, and T loops).
Source: Rfam by way of RNAcentral